This 505-nucleotide ribosomal RNA is filed under the name uncultured organism. RNAcentral's name for it is "bacterial SSU rRNA". It matches the Rfam family "Bacterial small subunit ribosomal RNA", at positions 28 to 507 of the family's 1533-position model. The record is from RNAcentral.
GACGAACGCUGGCGGCGUGCCUAAUACAUGCAAGUGGAACGCAUGAUUGAUACCGGAGCUUGCUCCACCAUUAAUCAUGAGUCGCGAACGGGUGAGUAACGCGUAGGUAACCUACCUCAUAGCGGGGGAUAACUAUUGGAAACGAUAGCUAAUACCGCAUAACAGUAUUUAUCACAUGGUAAAUGCUUGAAAGGAGCAAUUGCUUCACUAUGAGAUGGACCUGCGUUGUAUUAGCUAGUUGGUGGGGUAACGGCUCACCAAGGCAUCGAUACAUAGCCGACCUGAGAGGGUGAUCGGCCACACUGGGACUGAGACACGGCCCAGACUCCUACGGGAGGCAGCAGUAGGGAAUCUUCGGCAAUGGGGGGAACCCUGACCGAGCAACGCCGCGUGAGUGAAGAAGGUUUUCGGAUCGUAAAGCUCUGUUGUAAGAGAAGAACGUGUGUGAGAGUGGAAAGUUCACACAGUGACGGUAACUUACCAGAAAGGGACGGCUAACUACGUG